UGGUUCAUUUCGCCUCUUAGAAACAUAUCAUCAUCUAAUUAUUCCAAUAAAAACAAACACUCGAAUAAUUAUUUCAUCCGCAGAUGUUCACUCCUGAACUGUACCUUCUUUAGGAAUUAAAGUAGAUGCUAUCCCAGGCCGACUAAAUCAACUAAAUCUUUAUUCUAAUCGGCCUGGAUUAUAUUAUGGCCAAUGUUGUGAAAUUUGUAA
Octopus sinensis (East Asian common octopus) is the source of this 210-nucleotide long non-coding RNA. RefSeq lists it as uncharacterized. The record is from RefSeq and is a predicted model, not a curated record. Lineage: Eukaryota; Metazoa; Mollusca; Cephalopoda; Octopoda; Octopodidae. The transcript has 3 exons.